UAUUACAUGUACCAUCUCACACAUUUACUGUUAUCAGUGGUGCAAUGUCCUGUGCUCUGGGAAGGAAGCAAAUAGCACAGGUGAUGACUGCUAGUUACAGCUGACUAAACUCUAUUUGCUAGAGGUUAGGUAAACGUUACCACAGUCACAGAAGCUGUAGAAGUAAAUAGACACUGCUUUUUCUUACAAAGAACUGGGUCCAAAGACUUUAUUUAUAUUCAUUGUCUUCUUUAAAUCUUAAAAUAGCAUGGUGUGGCAGAAGUUUCAUUGUGGAGGGAUACUGAGUCUUGGAAACCCAGGAUCACACUAGUAAGUGGUACAACAAAGAUUUGAGUUUAGUAUUGCCUAACUCCAAAUUUUCAUGUGUUUGAUGUUACAGACUCCAACUCUCUACCCAGAGUAGCCAUAGUGACUGUUCCCUGGAGCUAGAUGCCAGCUGUUAGCAGCUCUGGGCCUCACAGUGAUGCUGGAAGGUAGUUACCAGGAUCUUCUGAAACUGAGCUGGAGGAGUCAGGGACAGGAUGGGAUGUACAGAGUUGGACCUAUGUGAAUGCUGCUUCUGCUGUCUUCCUUGUUCUAGGUUUUAGUCAAUUCAGGAGGGAUGGACCACAUCAAGGAGCUCCCUGGUCUUCUGGAGGUCAAGAGGUGUCAUUGCCAGGCUGCUGAGGAUCCGGAGAGGGUUGGAUGUGUGCUUCUAGUGGCUUGCUUUCAGGUGAGUUGCCUAGGAUUGCAGAGUUCUCACUCCUGCCAGGGCUCUUUUCACACAGCCACUUCUUUUGGCUCUGGUGUUUCAUGUCCUUGUCCCUUUAGGGGACAUCCAUCAUUGCUUGGUUUCUAUAAAACCCUUUCAUGUCUUUGUAGACUCUUUACAACUACAGUUUGGAUGUGCUUAUUUGUGUGCUGCCUUCUAAGAAUUCAUCUUAUAAGUUAAACGUGAUAAUAUUUUAUUUGUGCUG
Molecule: long non-coding RNA, 956 nt
Organism: Onychomys torridus (southern grasshopper mouse)
Lineage: Eukaryota; Metazoa; Chordata; Mammalia; Rodentia; Cricetidae
Exons: 3
Source: RefSeq, a predicted model, not a curated record